Molecule: ribosomal RNA, 1944 nt
Filed under: human gut metagenome
Description: bacterial LSU rRNA
Rfam family: Bacterial large subunit ribosomal RNA
Source: RNAcentral
AGAAGUUACAAAGGGCGAACAGAGGAUGCCUAGGCUUCUAUAGGCGAAGAAAGACGUGGUAAGCUGCGAAAAGGCACGGGGAUCUGCAAACAGGACUUGAUCCGUGCAUUUCUGAAUGGGGCAACCCGGCAAGAUGAAGUCUUGCCACCAUGAGUAAUUGUGGGGCCAACCCGGGGAACUGAAACAUCUCAUUACCCGGAGGAAAAGAAAGAAAGAUCGAUUUCCCAAGUAGUGGCGAGCGAAAAGGAAAUAGCCCAAACCGGAUUUGUUGCGGCAAAUUCGGGGUAGUAGGACCUCGAUAUACGAGCCAUAAAAAAUUGGAAGUUUCUGGAAAGGGACAUCGUAGAGGGUGAUAAUCCCGUACAAGUAAGAUUAUGGUAAGUUAGGGGAAUCCUGAGUAGGGCGGGACACGAGGAAUCCUGUCUGAAACAGCGGGGACCAUCCCGUAAGGCUAAAUACUCAUAGAAGACCGAUAGUGUACCAGUACUGUGAAGGAAAGGUGAAAAGCACCGUGAAAAACGGGGUGAAAGAGAACCUGAAACUGUUCGCUUACAAGCGGUCGGAGUCUCGCGAGAGAUGACGGCGUGCCUUUUGCAUAAUGAGCCUACGAGUUACUUCUCACCGGCAAGGUUAAGCACCUCAGGUGCGGAGCCGAAGCGAAAGCGAGUCUGAAAAGGGCGAAUGGAGUCGGUGGGAGUAGACGCGAAACCUUGUGAUCUACCCUUGGCCAGGUUGAAGUGUCCGUAACAGGACAUGGAGGACCGCACCAGUUUCCGUUGAAAAGGAUUUGGAUGAGCUGAGGGUAGGGGUGAAAGGCUAAUCAAACUGGGAGAUAGCUCGUACUCCCCGAAAUGUCUUUUGGGACAGCCUCAUUAUAGCUUGACGGAGGUAGAGCUACUGAUAGGAUGCGAGGGCUUCACCGCCUAUCAAAUCCUGACAAACUCCGAAUGCCGUCAAGUGAUUAAUGGGAGUGAGUCAUCGGGUGCUAAUGUCCGGUGGCAAAAGGGAAAGAGCCCAGACCAACAGCUAAGGCCCCCAAACGUAUGCUAAGUUGAGAGAACGAAGUUUGAUACCGGAGACAGCUAGGAUGUUAGCUUGGAAGCAGCUAAUCAUUUAAAGAGUGCGUAACAGCUCACUAGUCGAGGUACCGGGCGUGGAUGAUAAACGGGCAUCAAGCAUACUGCCGAAGCUAUGGACUCCGCGAGGAGUGGUAGGGGAGCAUUCUAACCGGCGCAGAAGGUGAUGCGUGAGCAUUGCUGGAGCGAUUAGAAAAGAAGAUGUAGGCAUAAGUAACGAUAAUGAAGGCGAGAAACCUUCACACCGCAAGCCCAAGGGUUCCUGAUCAAUGCUAAUCAGAUCAGGGUAAGUCGGGGCCUAACGUAAAUCCGAAAGGAGAUGUGGAUGGACAAAUGGUUAAUAUUCCAUUACCUGUAUAUGAUAUUCAGGAGGGACGAAGAUGUGACACGCGCGCCAACAGACGGAAUAGUUGGUUAAAGGAGGUAGGUAAACGGCGGAGUUAAAAGCUGGUCGUGCUGAAGUCUGACAGUACACGGAGCCUUCGGGCGAAGUGAUAGUCGCGGUAAGCGGACUUCCAAGAAAAUCUCCGAUAAUUUUCAUAUACAGCCCGUACCGUAAACCGACACAGGUGGGCGAGGAGAGUAUCCUCAGGUGCUCGAGUGAAUCAUGGCUAAGGAAUUCGGCAAAUUGACCCCGUAACUUCGGGAUAAGGGGACCCAUCGGAAGAUGGGCGCAGAGAAAUGGCCCAGGCGACUGUUUAACAAAAACACAUGGCUUUGCUAAAUCGCAAGAUGACAUAUAAGGCCUGACACCUGCCCGGUGCCGGAAGGUUAAGAGGGGAUGUAAUCGCAAGAGAAGCAUUGAAUCGAAGCCCCGGUAAACGGCGGCCGUAACUAUAACGGUCCUAAGGUAGCGAAAUUCCUUGUC